RNAcentral lists this long non-coding RNA (416 nucleotides) under Pan troglodytes (chimpanzee). RNAcentral describes it as "long non-coding RNA NONPTRT002355". Lineage: Eukaryota; Metazoa; Chordata; Mammalia; Primates; Hominidae. The record is from RNAcentral.
CCAACAUACAGAUGCAACGAAGCAAUUCUUAGGCAGUCUGAUUCUUUUGGACCGUUUUUGGAAGGAAGUACUGACAAAUCAGAAAAUGAUGCACCUCCCAAAGGUGUAUGGGUCACUGCUUCUCAUUGCCCUCAGCUCCUACAGAAAAGGCCGUGGAGACGAAGGCUUUUGGAAACAAGUCUACCAAACACCGAGGAGGCCGCCCUUCCACAGCACCAUCUCCUGGGAGGAGCAGGUGUGAUGCCGGGUCUUCCAGCUCAGGCUCCCUCCUCCCCUUCUUUGAUCAUAUUUGUGUUUGGCUUUUGCAUUUCUCCCUCUUAUUUCUCCUCAUCUCUCCCUACCCCCCUUACACACAUGCAGGUGCACACACACAUGCACUUCCCCAUCUUACACGCCCAAAAUAAACAGCAGUUUGA